This 499-nucleotide long non-coding RNA is filed under the name Dermacentor andersoni. Its description in RNAcentral is "uncharacterized LOC126524334". Lineage: Eukaryota; Metazoa; Arthropoda; Arachnida; Ixodida; Ixodidae. The record is from RNAcentral.
CGGCUGCGGUCGUUUCAUUGCCAACUGUGAGGAUGAAGCAGCUUCAUGGCCGGAGAUCGGGCGCCUCCCAUCAGUUUCCCUUUUCAGCAAUAGAGGCCUUGGAGGCCUUUCUACCUGCGUUGCAUCCUGUGGCUGGACCACUCCAACGAUCUCGGCAGAAUCGUUACACAGGAAGAAGUCUGGCUGGCCCCAAGCCUGGUGCAAAAUGAAGAAAUGGCACUCCACAUCAAUUCAUGUUUACUUGUCAUAACCAGUCUGUUAGCUUAAUUUUUGGUUCUUCCUAUUGAAUUCUCAAGAAAGGUACCAACUCUGUCAUUCAUUGAAAACAAAUUUUUGCACUUGGGGAUGCAGCCAUACACAAAGCCUUUGAGCUCAUUAAUAUCUUUAUUUUUUAAAGAAAGUGCAGCUCCUGCGUGGAGCAAUAGGUUGAAUAAGACGAGGGUAAAUGAAAAGAUGGUGAAAUUAGUCAUCAACAGCUGUCCAACAAAGGAAGUCUCAA